UCACAGAAGAGCAUUUGCCCACUGGCUUAGCCGGCCUCUUCGCAGUCAGGCCUCGUGAGCCCAUCCUUCUGGGGUCCCUGGGGCGAGAGGCAGCUCCCCCUCUGGUUCUCCAUGUAGUACUUCCUUCCCAGGCUGGCGGUGGCUGCUCCUCCCCAGCAAGAACAUUUGCUGGGAACAGUCACACAGUUACAACCCGGAUGAGAAGAACAGAUGCUAGACCCCACUCGUCCCUCCGGGACCGGCCAUCCUGGCCCAGAAUUCUCUGCUUGCCUGCAUCGCAGUACUUCGGCCCUCUCUCCUUCCUCUCCUUCGUUCUCUGAACUCCAUCGCACAGCCCUUUCUCCGCUGACCGGCUGCACCUGCGUGCCCUGGUCCCCGCUGGAGCCUUCCUUACUUCCGGGUGGCGUCUCAGCCCCGAUAGGACUGAUGCCGUUAGCUCGUGGAUGCCGGUACCCCUAAGAGGCGACUCUCUCGAAUCAGCCACCUGAGGUCUCCUUCCGCUCUCUGGUGGAGUCUUGGGUUUCCCCAAGGUCCUCAUCCCCUUAUUCAUUUCCACCUUCAGGUCAAGCCCCGGUGGGCUGCAUCACUUCUCGUGUGGCCCUCUGCGAGUUUCCCUUGGAAGUGCCUUUCUCUGUGGUCGGCUUGUCUGUGCCUGACCGCAAAGGCAUAACCUCCAAGCUGGGACCCUCUCACUAGAGGAUGGGCCACCUGCCAGCGAGGUGGCUCAGCAGGUAAAGGCACGUGCUGCCCAGACUGAUGGCCUGAAUUUGAACCCUGGAACCCACCCGGCAGAAGGUGGAAACCAACUCUGCAAACUGUCUGAUGAUCUGCCAUGCAUGUGCACACACAGGUACACACUCACAUAAUGAAAGAAGUUUCUAGGCUGUUUCCAGUUUGUCUAUUAUGAGUGAAACUGCUAUGAAGAAGCUGUUAUGAACACAGUUGAGCAAGAGCUCUACAUAGAUGACCUGAAGCUGAGUCAUGAUGUCCCGAGGCAAGAGCUACUUUAUAAAAACACAUUGCCCCGAAGCCGACUUGGUCCAGAAACACGGAAUAACAGUAAGCAAGGCCUAGAGUCUAGGUGUACCCGGUCAGCUGAGACAGACUAGUGCUCCCAGCUCCCAGAAGGUGAGUCCCUCGAAGCAGCCUUGUCUUCCCACAUCUGGAAGGUUACCAGAGCGUGACUUCAGGAAGUGACGUAGUCCCCAUUCCAGUCUGAGGCUUCAGGGCAGCUUUCCCUUUACUGUUCUCUGGAGCUGACCCCGUGGACCCCUGAGUGUGGGGGGGCCAGUGUGGAGCUGAGCACUUUGCCGUGGACUUACCUUCAGUGAACAGAGGCAUUCCAAUAAACAGACCUGGCUGCUCAAGAUGAGGGAAGAACAGAAUCUUCGUCCUUCUCAAGCUAAUGAGGUUGUAAGAUGGUUGGGAGGGCUUGCCACUCACAGAGUCCAAAAGCACCACACCUGCACCCCCAUUUCAUCCAGGCUCUGUCUUCUAAAUGCUGAGUUUAAAGGUAUGUGCCACCAUGCCCAGUAACCUUGGAUCCUUGACCUACCUUCCUUGCCCAGGGCUGGCAUGACAGAUGCGCACCACACACCCAGUUUUAUGUGGAACUGGAGAUGGAGCCCAGGGUUUCCCACUUGUUAGGAAAGGACUCUAUCAACUGGGCCACAUCCUCAGCCCUGGAGGAGGCCUUUCCACAACACAUUAAGGUCACCUAUGUAAAUGGGCACUAUGGACUGAGCAAAACUAUGCAAAUAGUUACUAAUGUCACGUCUCCUCUUUAUACCUUUCAAAACCUAGCAGAGAAAUCUGCCUGCCACAUCAGAGAGAAACACUUGGAGGGAAGCAGAGGCCUCCCAACUUUCCCAAGACACUUCAGUGCCACCGUCCAGAGGAGCAGGUGGAAAUGCAGCCAGGCUAGCAGGCUUUGGGUGGAUUCUGGGGUAGGACUAGUUCAAGUUGAACUGAACUGGUUCUGCUGUCAGUGUUAGCGACAGUCUCUAAGGCCAGGGUUCUGAUGCACCAUGCUGACGGCCAUCGUGGCACUGCUGAGACCAAGUGUGGACACAGCUCACUCAGCAGCAUGCUUUGGGGGCACACAGGCUGCUCCUGAAGCAGAGUCCAGUGACAGUUCCAGGCAGGACUCUGGCUCAUCCCGAGUUCUUAAGUGAACAUUUGUCUAGAAAGAUGUGGAACUGGCCUGGUUGUGGUGGUGCACACCUUUAAUCCUAGCACUUGGGAGGCAGAGGCAGGUGCAUCUCUGAGUUCAAGGCCAGCCUGGGCUACCGAGUGAGUUCUAGGACAGCCUGAACUACAUAGUGAGACUCUGUCUCAACACAAACAACAAAAUUAUUUUACAUGAAGACCGAAGCUCAACUCUCCAGCCCCGUGUAAGAAUGCUGAAUGUGGGGCUGAGAGACACGGUUCAGACAUUACAGGCUAGGCUAACAACCAAAGUGUCAAAAAAAGCUCAAUGUGGCUGUGUCCACAGCCUGGACUGCUAGCACUGGGGUGGGACCCUCUCACUGAACCUGGUGAGCUACAGGUCAGGAAGAGGUCUGUCACAGGGAGUAAGGUAGACAGCAACAGAGAACACCCAGUGUCUCUCCUGGCCUCCCUGCAUGCAUACAAACCAAGUGACGGAGGGAAGGAGGGGCCUGGAGCCUACAGGGCCCUUACAGACAAACACGGCCAUUUCAGCACUGUGGGCUGCAGAGCAUGUGCAGCUGGGACUCAGGGACAGUGUACUUUCCAGGAAGAACACACACAGCACGGAACACCGCUUGAGAUGGGCACCCCUGUUUCAUGUAUUUAUUAGUGAGAAUAGUUCAGCAUUAUUUCCUAAAUCAGUUAAAAAAGCUGGAUUAUCCAUUAGUAAGAAAAAACAAACCUUGAUUUUUAGUUCAAUGGUUCACCAUAAUAAAGGCACACUGUCACACCACCCGGCUCACUCUCUCUUUUUUAAACCAUUAUUUAUUUAUGUAUGAGUGCUGUGUCUGCAUGUUCAUCUGCAUGCCAGAAGAGGGCAUCGGAUUUCAUAAUAAACGGUUGUGAGCCACCACAUAGUUGCUGGGAAUUGAACUCAGGACCUCGGGAAGAGCAGCCAGUGCUCUCAACAGCUGAGCCAUCACUCCAGCUCCCCAAAUCUCAUUCCUUUAACUGGGCUCCGUCAGAGUUUUUUCAACCCAAACAGCUUCUCUGCAUCCAAGGACAGACCAGCCCAGUGGUGGUUUAAAUGAUAACGUCCCCACAGGCUUCUGUUUGAAAACGUGUUCCCCAGUUGGUGCAACUGCUUGGAAGUCUUAGAAGGUGUGGCCUUAUAAGAGGAGGUGUGUUAGUGGGUGGGUUUGAGAUUUCAAAAGACUCAUGCAUUCAGUUUCUCUCUCUCCCGGUACCUGUAGAUCAAGAGAGUUCUCAGCUAUUCCUGCCACUGUCUUUAUUCUGCCACGUGGACUCCUGACUCUGAAACUGCAAGCCCCCGGUAGUCCCUUCUUAUGGUUGCCUAGGUCAGGACAUCUUGUCACAGCAACAGAACAGUGACUAAUACUGUUGUACUAAUUCUGUUGAGCUUCUGAGAUCAGUGGAGAUCCAUCGUCUACAGCAUGAUGGCUGGAGACCAAAACAUCUUUCUUUCUAGGCUACAGCAUGAUGGCUGGAGACCAAAACAUCUUUCUUUCUAGGCUAUUUAUCAGGGCUGGAGAGAUGGCUCAGAGGUUAAGAGCACUGGCUGCUCUUGCAGAGGACCUGGUUCAGUUCCCAGACCCACAUGGUGGCUCACAGCCAUCUCUAACUCUAGUUCCAGGGGAUCUGAUGCUCUCGUCUAUCUUCCUUGGCCACCUAAAGCACAGAGUGCAUGUAUAUAUACAUAUGCAGGUAAACACCCCCCCCCCACACACACACACAUUAAAACAGUAAUAAAGAGACCUUUGAGUCAAAACCAAGAACAACGAAGGGGUGGGGCAAGAGGUGGCCCAGCAGUUAAAGAGCACUUACUGUUCUGUAGAGGGCUCAGGUUCAAUUCCCAGCACCCACAUCUGGCUUACAACUCCCUGUAACUCUAGUUCUAGGGAGUCCAAA
Molecule: long non-coding RNA, 4080 nt
Organism: Peromyscus californicus insignis
Lineage: Eukaryota; Metazoa; Chordata; Mammalia; Rodentia; Cricetidae
Exons: 4
Source: RefSeq, a predicted model, not a curated record